This 3558-nucleotide long non-coding RNA is filed under the name Homo sapiens (human). Its description in RNAcentral is "HSALNT0020747". Lineage: Eukaryota; Metazoa; Chordata; Mammalia; Primates; Hominidae. The record is from RNAcentral.
CAGAUGCUGAGCACAGUUCUGACAGAGGGGAGCUGAUAUGGCCCUUUCUUGGGGAGAAGAGUCUGGGGCACCCUCUGAGAUUCUGUAUGUAUCUCCCUGAGACUUUAUCACUGUUCAGGCGGAGCCAGUGAUGAGUCCCUUUGUGGGUAUAUGCAUAAUUCUUCUCUGAGGGAACAAGAGCAAAAGGCAAAAGGACUGCAGCUCCUGUCACACAGGGUGGCUCCUGGAGGGUGUGUUCCAGUACAAUGAAUGAAUAAGUCAAGAAAGAGGAGAACUUGAGUCCAAGAAGCAAAGACAGGGCAAGGAGGCUUUUUCCACAACCAUCGAAGGCUACUCUGAUUUGCAAUUAGCAGGAUAAACUGAAGAUAACACCUUGCAGAAGCAGAUCUCAAUUAACAACUGAUGGAAAAAAGAGGAAACUGAAGAGGCCAAAAGAAAGGGAACACACAAUGAGGAAGAAGGAGAAAGUUGGACCCAUUCCAAGAAUCAUGCAAGCCAUUCUGCUGGAUGUGAAGUGGUAUCUGAUUGUUACUAGAAGGCUAUCCUUACAAGAAAUGCUAAAGGAAAUUGUUCAGACUGAAAGCAAUUGACACCAGACGGUAAUUUGAAUCCACACAGUAAAACAAUGAGCAUCAGCAGAGGUCAUUAUGUCAGUAAUUUGAACCACAGUAUAAUAUAUAUUACUACUCCUUCCUUCUCUUAGCUGAUUUAAACAGCAAUUGCAUAAAACAAUAUGUAUAUAAUUGCAUUAUUAAGCCUAUAACAUACAGAAAUGCAAUAUAUUUGACAAUAACAUCACAAGAAAGGUAGGAGGGAACAAAGCUGUAUUAUAGUACAGAAAUGACACCAGAUGGUAACUUGAAUCUACAGGAAGAAAUAAAGAGCGCCAGAAAUGAAGAAUAAGAAGAUUAACAUAAUAAACUCUCUAAAUAUAUACUUGCCCUCCUUUCUUCUCUCAGCUACUAUAAAAGACAUGAAACAUGAAAUUAUAUAAAACAAUAAUUAUAAAAAUUUAUUGUGCAGUUUGUAAUAUAUGUAAGUGCAAAAUAUGUUGUUGGAUUCUUGGUUGAGGUUUUUAUCUUUCUGCACUUUGAAUGUGUCAUCUAGCUGCUUUCUAGCCUCCAUUCUUUCUGAUAAGGAAUCAGAUGUUAAUCUUACUGGGGUUACAUUGUACAUGAUGCGUUGCUCUUCUCUUGCUGCUUUCAAGAUUUUCUCUUCAUUCUUGGUUUUCAACAUUUUGAUUAUAAUGUCUCAAGGUCUAGACCUUUUUGCAAUAUCCUACUUGAGUUCAACAAGCUUCUUGGAUAUGUAGAUUAAUGUGUUGUUUUGUUCUUUUGUUUGGGUUUUUUUUUUUUUUGGUCAAAUUUGUGAUAUUUUCAGCCAUUUUUCCUUUGUAUAGGUUUUUAUCUCCUUUCUCUUUCUCUCAUCUUUCUGGGACUCUCAUUAUACAUAUGUUGGUACACUUAAUGGUGUCCCACAUUUCUCUGAUGCCAUUUAUUUUUCCUCAUUCUUUUCAUCUCUGUGCUUCAAAUUGCAUAAUCUCAAUUUAUCUUCAAAUUCACUGAUUCUUUUUCCAACUCAAAUCUACUGUUGAGUUCCUCUUUUGAAUUUUUCAUUUUACUUACUGUGUUUUUCAACUCUAGAAUUUCCAUUUCUUUUUAAAAUAAUUUCUAUCUUUAUCAAUAUUUUCUAUUUGAUAAAACUGUCAUAAUACAUUUACUUAAUUCUUUAAAUAUUGUUUCCUUUAGUUCUUGGGACAUAUUUAUAAUAGCUGCUUUGUGAUUCUUUGAACUUUCCUGCUAAGUCCAUUCUCUGGGCUCCCUCAAAAACAGUUUCUAUUGUUGGCUUUUUCCCUUUACAUGGGUCACUCUUUCCUGUUUCUUUGCACAUCUGACAAUUUUUUUUUUGAAAACAGAACAUGUUAGAUAAUACAUUGCAGCAACUUUGGAUAUUGAUUCUCCCUUACCACCUUUGGGAUCUGUUGUUGUUUCCUCAUUUUCUUGUUUGUUUAGUGACAUAAUUGGACUAGUUCAGUUAAGUCUGUUUCCUUCAAAGUGUGCAACAUCUAACAGCAUGCCUCAGACAGCACAGACUUGGGCAUGUACACAGUCUUUUUAACUGCCAGAGAUAACUGUGGUUUUCUCUUUGACUGUCUCUUUCUCAUUGAGACUUUGGGUGGUCUACCUCUGUUGGUAUUACAUACAACCAUUGGCCUCCAGCAAUCUUUAUCUGAUUGUUCUACUUUUUUCAGCAACUCCCUGGGGCAUAAUAUGCUUCACAGUCUAAUCCAAUUAAAGUUCCUUGAAAGGGGCAGAGUGUUUACAGUCUUUGAAGCUUGCUCCAAAUCUGCCCUGGAAGAAUGUCUGUCCUAUAGAUCAGGAGCUGGGGGAAAUUAGAAAACUCAUUCUUUCCCAGGCACUGCACUAGAGUUCUUCUUAUGGUGUAGGAGCUGUGAGAAGAGAAAAGGGGGAAGUAGGAACUGGCACUGCCACCCAGCUGCGCCCACCACCAAGUACACAUAUUCCACAGCGCAGAGCUGGGGAGAAUAAUAACUGCCAAUAUUCAUAGCUGUCAACCUACCCAUAAUAGUUCUUCCAUUCUAGGAAGCUGGGGAAGAUGGGAGAUGCCACUUGGCUGCUGAGCCAACUGGAAUAGUUCUCGUGCAACAUAGAGCCAUGAAAAAGGGGGGACUGACUUCUUACCAGCUGCCCCACUUAGAUCCUCCCCAUAUAAUCGGAGUUGGGGGUGAAGGAACAGACACUGAUGCAUGUUUGCUGGCACCGAUUCAAUAUUCGACUUCCACAGCAUGGAUCUUUGAAAAAUACUGUCAUGUAAUUUUCACUGGCUGCCAAAUCCACCCCAAAUAACUUUUUUACCCCAGGGAGCUGGAGAAGAUGGGAAUUGCCACUUGUGGGAUGAGCCCACAGAAAACAUCCUCCCGCAAGGUAGAGCUGUUGCAGCCCCUAGUUCUAAUGCAAUGUCCUCCCACUGUUCCUAUCAAGUCUCCAUAUUUUUGCUGAAUAAAUGCUUCUCGGUUUGUUGUAAUCCCUUUGAUCACUCUCCAGAGACUUUGAAUGGUUUUCUUUGCUAAUUUUGACCAGCUUGGUGGAUACCUCUUCAGGAGAGAGGUUUCCCCAAACUCCUCCACCACUGCUCCAGAAAUCCCCAGAAGUUCUUGACAUUUCGUGAGGGCAAAACUUAGAGCACAAGGCAUCAGUGGCUUCCUUCUCUUACCAGUUGUAUAACCUUGAGCAAGUCUUUUAACCUCUGUGAACAGUUUCUCAUCUGUAACAUAAGGAUAAUCAUAGUGCCCACAAUUGUUGGGAGGAUUUGUUGAGUUAAUCCUUGUUAUGCACCUAGUCUAGUGCCAAGUUAUCAUUAUUACUAUUGUCAUUAUUUUUAAUAAUCCACGAGUUUAUAACUUCAGAGUGUUGGAAUCAUAACCAGUUCACACAAUACUUUUGUACAAGUUAUAAAAGGCAUUUUUCCUCAGGACAAUUUAUUAUUUGUCUUUCAAAGUAAUUAUAAUAAUAUAAUGAUUUUGUUAGAAUAAGACAA